CCAAUAGGGCUGCUUUGCAGGUUACUUUGAUAUAGUAAACUUAAAACCUUUGUGUUUCAUUGGU
Molecule: transfer RNA, 64 nt
Filed under: Dibothriocephalus nihonkaiensis
Lineage: Eukaryota; Metazoa; Platyhelminthes; Cestoda; Diphyllobothriidea; Diphyllobothriidae
Description: tRNA-Ile
Source: RNAcentral